Molecule: ribosomal RNA, 328 nt
Filed under: uncultured bacterium
Lineage: Bacteria
Description: bacterial SSU rRNA
Rfam family: Bacterial small subunit ribosomal RNA
Source: RNAcentral
UGCGUAGGUGGGCAAGUAAGUCAGUGGUGAAAUCUCCGAGCUUAACUCGGAAACUGCCGUCGAUACUAUUUGUCUUGAAUGUCGUGGAGGCAGGCGGAAUAUGUCAUGUAGCGGUGAAAUGCUUAGAUAUGACAUAGAACACCAAUUGCGAAGGCAGCUUGCUACUCGAUGAUUGACGCUGAGGCACGAAAGCGUGGGGAUCAAACAGGAUUAGAUACCCUGGUAGUCCACGCCCUAAACGAUGAUUACUCGACAUCAGCGAUAAACUGUUGGUGUCUGAGCGAAAGCAUUAAGUAAUCCACCUGGGAAGUACGACCGCAAGGUUGAA